RNAcentral lists this ribosomal RNA (426 nucleotides) under uncultured Caryophanaceae bacterium. Its description in RNAcentral is "bacterial SSU rRNA". It matches the Rfam family "Bacterial small subunit ribosomal RNA", at positions 356 to 774 of the family's 1533-position model. The record is from RNAcentral. Lineage: Bacteria; Bacillati; Bacillota; Bacilli; Caryophanales; Caryophanaceae.
AGGCAAUCUUCCACCAUGGCCGGCAGUCUGAUGGAGCAACGCCGCGUGAGUGAUGCAGGUUUUCGGUUCGUAAAACUCUGUUGUACGGGAAGAACCAGUACGUCAGGCAAUGGACGACCCUCGACGGUACCUUACUAGACAGCCACGGCUAACUACGUGCCAGCAGCCGCGGUAAUACGUAGGUGGCAAGCGUUGUCCGGAAUUAUUGGGCGUAAAGCGCGCGCAGGUGGUUUCUUAAGUCUGAUGUGAAAGCCCACGGCUUAACCGUGGAGGGUCAUUGGAAACUGGGAGACGUGAGUGCAGAAGAGGAAAGUGGAAUUCCAAGUGUAGCGGUGAAAUGCGUAGAGAUUUGGAGGAACACCAGUGGCGAAGGCGACUUUCUGGUCUGCAACUGACGCUGAGGCGCGAAAGCAUGGGGAGCAAACA